UGCCAGCAGCCGCGGUAAUACGGAGGGUGCGAGCGUUAAUCGGAAUUACUGGGCGUAAAGCGCGCGUAGGCGGCUUGUUAAGUCAGAUGUGAAAUCCCCGGGCUCAACCUGGGAACUGCAUCUGAUACUGGCAGGCUAGAGUAUGGUAGAGGGAAGCGGAAUUCCGGGUGUAGCGGUGAAAUGCGUAGAUAUCCGGAGGAACAUCAGUGGCGAAGGCGAGAUCCUGGACAUUUACUGACGCUCAGGCACGAAGGCUAGGGUAGCGAAGCGGAUUAGAUA
RNAcentral lists this ribosomal RNA (279 nucleotides) under uncultured bacterium. Its description in RNAcentral is "partial 16S ribosomal RNA". It matches the Rfam family "Bacterial small subunit ribosomal RNA", at positions 506 to 784 of the family's 1533-position model. The record is from RNAcentral.